AAAAUGUUUUUGUUUUUAGUUUUGUUUUCAGUUUUUUUUUGUUUUGUUUUUUUUCCUGCCUUUAUUUUUAGGUUACGUUUUCCCUUUCCACGCCCGGAAAUUUUCUGUUCUAUGGGUGGCACAUUGACACAAUUUUGGGUUUAAUACUGGCGUUAUUUACGACAACUUUAGCUGCAAUGCUUUCGGAAGGAUUGAAGUACGUGCGUUACUUACCGAAAAAACAACGUGGACAAAGAAAAUGCACACCUUUAGCAAAAGUGUUCCUGCAGAAUAUGAAAACCCGUUUAUGGCAAACAUGUCUACAUAUGCUACAGACAGGAACUGGAUUGUUUCUAAUGUUAUGUUCCAUGUCUUAUAAUACCUGGAUUUUCAUCAGCAUCAUUGUUGGUUCAUUUUUAGGAUACUUCUUCUUACACCCAGUCAUACGAAUCCAUGCUGAUAAAAAAAUAAAACGGACAAAGCCAUCGGCUGUGGAGAUUGCACUGAUCGACAAUCCGUCAACACGGAGCGUCAAGCAAUGAACAUCUUUUAAUGUGCUUAUGUCUCAAUGCUUACGUUUUUCUCAUAAAUAAAAUAUUCAUAAUUCUUUAUACAAUAGGCACUAGGCCUGAAAAUUUCUGAUGGAAGUGGGACGAGGUGGUCAGUCGAUUACACUUAUUUUACCGACCUCGAAAGUUUGAAAGACGAAGUUGACAUCGGCGAAAUUUGAACUCAGAACGUAAAGCUGUUGUUCAAAUUCCUCCAAGGUCGACUUUGCAUUUCAUCUUUUCGGGUUCGAUUAAAUAAGUACCAGGGUCGAUGUCAUCAAUUUACGCCAUCUCCUAAAAAUUGCUGGUCCUGUGCCAAAAUUUUAAAUCAUUUGAAACCAUUUGAAGGGUAGCUAAGGCGGAGAACUGGCAAACUCGUUAAAGCGUCGGAAAAAAUACGCGACGGUAUUUGUUUCAACUCUUUACAUUCUCAGUUUGAAUGCCGUCGAAGUCAACAGCGCUACUCAUCCUUUGAGAUCAAUAAAAUAAAGUACCAGCUGAGUACUGUGGUCGAUGAUAUAAACUAACUCUUUUCUCUGAAUAUUGUUGGCUUUGUGCCUAAGGAAAGUAUUAUCUUAUUGUAACUUGACAGAUGACUAAAGACUCCGGUACAUUUUUACCUACACUGUGUUACAAAGGAAUAAUAAUAAUAAUAAUAAUAAUAAUAAUAAUAAUAAUAAUAAUAAUAAUAAUAAUAAUAAAUAUGAGCAGGAGUAGUGAGGGAGCAUCAAAUUCCCUUAUACAGUACCAGGCAGUGACUCUCAUGGUUUCUGCUCUUAACUGAUUGGAAGUGUUAACAUGUACAUAUUUUGUCUUGGUAUAAAAGAUGGACUACAGCAAAUAUUCUGCUCAAUACCACAGAUUUGGCUGUCAGUUGUUUGACCAUAACCAAUUGAGCAUGUCCCUUGGUGGCUGGCGAUAUGCGCAUCUCUGAUCACGAGCACGAGUAGUGGGGGAGCAUCAUAGCCAUGUGUUGAGAGGAAUUCUUUGGAUUUUCAAUAAUUCACCUCUGGAAACAUAAGUGUUUUGUUUAUCAUUCUUCAACAAACCUUAUUCAAGGAACUCCCAAAUAGGAUGGGCCACUUGGCCUGAAGAAAAUUCUGACGGAGUCACACCUGCAAGUUCAUGCAUUGUUUAAUCUGAUAUGAGAUCACCAUGUCAAGGACAUAUGAUUGUGAUGCAUGUGCCUGACGUACCCUUGUCAAACAGGUAGUCAUGGUGGAUAUAUUGGAUUUCGUAUAUUUGUAAGCCAGUGUCAUUUUGAUGGCAUGCAUUACUCUCCCAGUAUUAAUAAUAAUAAUAAUAAUAAUAAUAAUAAUAAUAAUAAUAAUAAUAAUAAUAAUAAUAAUAGGUUGGGGAAAAAGUUCGUGCACCAUGUUAAUGCUUUUUCAUACAUUUUUGUGGUGUUUGUUCAUUCAGUUCAUGUCAUGUUCAAUGGUGACUUACCGCGUUCGUCGAAAACGCGCUUAGUUUCAACAAGACAAUGCAAAGCGGCAUACCGCCAGAAAGACCAGCAACAAGACUGAAGAAUUGGGUGGUGUGAAAGUUCUGCCGCAUCCAGCCUAUAGUCCAGACGUUGCUCCAUCUGACUGCGGUUUCUUCCGAUCAAUGCAGCAUUUUAUGAAAGGUCGCCGAUUUGAGUCAUUCAAUGAAGUUGAAGAAGCCUGUCAAGAAUUUUUCGAUUCAAAGCCGACCAAAUCUGAAAGCUUACAGAUCGUUGGCAGAAGGUCGUGGAAAAUGAUGGCCUUCAUCUUGAAGAAUAGUUGUUGUUUUUUAAUAAAUUGUUGCAUAAAAAAUCAU
Molecule: long non-coding RNA, 2327 nt
Organism: Octopus bimaculoides (California two-spot octopus)
Lineage: Eukaryota; Metazoa; Mollusca; Cephalopoda; Octopoda; Octopodidae
Source: RefSeq, a predicted model, not a curated record